GACGAACGCUGGCGGCGUGCCUAAUACAUGCAAGUCGAGCGGACUUUCAAGAAGCUUGCUUUUUGAAAGUUAGCGGCGGACGGGUGAGUAACACGUGGGCAACCUGCCUGCAAGACGGGGAUAACUCCGGGAAACCGGGGCUAAUACCGGAUAAUAUCUUCCUUCGCAUGAAGGAAGGUUGAAAGGCGGCGCAAGCUGCCGCUUGCAGAUGGGCCCGCGGCGCAUUAGCUAGUUGGUGAGGUAACGGCUCACCAAGGCGACGAUGCGUAGCCGACCUGAGAGGGUGAUCGGCCACACUGGGACUGAGACACGGCCCAGACUCCUACGGGAGGCAGCAGUAGGGAAUCUUCCGCAAUGGACGAAAGUCUGACGGAGCAACGCCGCGUGAGCGAAGAAGGUCCUCGGAUCGUAAAGCUCUGUUGUCAGGGAAGAACAAGUACCGUUCGAACAGGGCGGUACCUUGACGGUACCUGACCAGAAAGCCACGGCUAACUACGUG
This 499-nucleotide ribosomal RNA is filed under the name uncultured bacterium. Its description in RNAcentral is "partial 16S ribosomal RNA". It matches the Rfam family "Bacterial small subunit ribosomal RNA", at positions 28 to 507 of the family's 1533-position model. The record is from RNAcentral.